GGGUGAGUGUCUGAGUGGUUGAAGGAACCGGUUUUGAAAACCGGCAUGCUUGCGAAGGUAUCGGGGGUUCGAAUCCUCCCUCACCCG
This 87-nucleotide transfer RNA is filed under the name Trebouxia aggregata. RNAcentral describes it as "tRNA-Ser". It matches the Rfam family "tRNA". From Rfam's summary of the family: Transfer RNA (tRNA) molecules are approximately 80 nucleotides in length. The record is from RNAcentral. Lineage: Eukaryota; Viridiplantae; Chlorophyta; Trebouxiophyceae; Trebouxiales; Trebouxiaceae.